UACGUAGGUGGCAAGCGUUGUCCGGAUUUAUUGGGUUUAAAGGGUGCGUAGGCGGUCUAUUAAGUCAGUGGUGAAAUACUCCAGCUUAACUGGAGGGGUGCCAUUGAUACUGAUGGACUUGAGUCAAGUCGAGGUAGGCGGAAUUGACGGUGUAGCGGUGAAAUGCUUAGAUAUCGUCAAGAACACCAAUAGCGAAGACAGCUUACUGGGCUUAAACUGACGCUGAGGCACGAAAGUGUGGGGAUCAAACAGG
Molecule: ribosomal RNA, 253 nt
Filed under: uncultured bacterium
Lineage: Bacteria
Description: partial 16S ribosomal RNA
Rfam family: Bacterial small subunit ribosomal RNA
Source: RNAcentral